UAUCACAUUUUCCUUCUUCUGUCACCAAUGUAACUGAACUGUAAACUAUAACAAUACGUGUAUUAGUUUCUUUAAGGAAUGACUCACAAUUUACAGGAACGAAAACUUGUCGCGUCUCGUCCUAUCCAGAAAGUUGUUUGGUGGUGCAACGCAGAGAGCACGCCCACCUAUCGACAGGCUGGCUAGUCAUUGCACCACCUUUUGAAAAUAGGUCUACCACUGCUUUAUUUCGAAGCACAACACGUCAUACUGCACACUCACUGUUUCAGUAUUAAUGGACACAAAGUGAGAACAAAGAUUAGCAAGAAAAUGACGUCAUUCAUCCUAUCACUUGCCCCAGUGUUGUGUUUCGGUGUCUGGCAAUGACCAGCAGUGACGCACCACGCUGUAUAAAGAUAACCUCAGCCUCGCUCAGAGUCAGUGGCACUCAGGCAGCAGAAGAGAAAGAGACAUGGGGCGUCUUCUCCUCUGCUGGGUGUCGCGGGCAGCCAUGGUGGCGGAACAGGACACGGGCGGACUUACUUUGUCCUGCCCCCGAUGACUGAGAUUCGUCCACUCACCGGGGGCAGGACCAUUUUUCUUGCCCCGGACUGACUCUUCUCACCGACGCAUGGCGAGGAAUCCUGGCCACACCCCCGCUGCGAGGCGGUCUGCAGUGUCUCUACAGAGCUGUGUAGCCACCAACACCAGGCAACCACCCAAACACACCACCACCGUCACCACAGCCCCGUCAACACGCAGCCCAUCACCACUACGACAACCACCACCUCUGUAUAUGGCCACGCCAUGGAACAAUACGGUGGUGACAGCGACUGCGUAGUGACGGAGGAUACAAGGAAAACUCUCUCUCUCUCUCUCUCUCUCUCUCUCUCUCUCUCUCUCUCUCAGCAGGGAUGGAGGCGCAGGAAUUCCUGACGGAAAAAGGAAACUCUGACCAAAGACUUUACCAUUAAGCAAUCCAUCCUAACCACUACGUACGUACACCACGCCCAUCAUUAACAAUCAUAAACUCUCUAUUAUCUUUGAAAUGUCUUAAAUUUCAUUACGUUUCUGUAUCUCAAUUCUGUGACGAAAAUCACUGAAUGUUUCAUAUUGUGUGGUUUUACACACGUACAUCCAACAUGACUUGUUCUUGUUAGGAAACCAUUAUUGAUAUGUAGCAAUAACUCUGCACAUUUUGUAACCCUGCAGUCAGUGUGUUGAAUGGUGACCAUGUAUUGGUUUUGCACUGAACACAAAUAAAGCCAUUUGUUACUA
This 1257-nucleotide long non-coding RNA is filed under the name Portunus trituberculatus (swimming crab). Its description in RNAcentral is "uncharacterized LOC123499422". Lineage: Eukaryota; Metazoa; Arthropoda; Malacostraca; Decapoda; Portunidae. The record is from RNAcentral.